GUCGUUGUAGAUGACGACGUUGAUAGGCUAUAGGUGUAAAGACAGUAAUGUCAUAGCCAAGUAGUACUAAUUACCCGUAGAUUUAUAGCCU
This 91-nucleotide ribosomal RNA is filed under the name Staphylococcus aureus. Its description in RNAcentral is "partial 23S ribosomal RNA". It matches the Rfam family "Bacterial large subunit ribosomal RNA", at positions 2834 to 2925 of the family's 2925-position model. Lineage: Bacteria; Bacillati; Bacillota; Bacilli; Caryophanales; Staphylococcaceae. The record is from RNAcentral.